Molecule: ribosomal RNA, 248 nt
Filed under: uncultured Actinomycetales bacterium
Lineage: Bacteria; Bacillati; Actinomycetota; Actinomycetes; Actinomycetales
Description: partial 16S ribosomal RNA
Rfam family: Bacterial small subunit ribosomal RNA
Source: RNAcentral
GGGGUGCUCGAGUGGCGAACGGGUGAGUAACACGUGAGUAACCUGCCCUUGACUUUGGGAUAACUUCAGGAAACUGGGGCUAAUACCGGAUAGGAGCUCCUGCUGCAUGGUGGGGGUUGGAAAGUUUCGGCGGUUGGGGAUGGACUCGCGGCUUAUCAGCUUGUUGGUGGGGUAGUGGCUUACCAAGGCUUUGACGGGUAGCCGGCCUGAGAGGGUGACCGGCCACAUUGGGACUGAGAUACGGCCAG